RNAcentral lists this ribosomal RNA (379 nucleotides) under uncultured bacterium. Its description in RNAcentral is "bacterial SSU rRNA". It matches the Rfam family "Bacterial small subunit ribosomal RNA", at positions 521 to 896 of the family's 1533-position model. The record is from RNAcentral.
UAAUACGGAGGGGGCAAGCGUUGUCCGGACUUACUGGGCGUAAAGGGUGCGUAGGCGGCCUGCUGCGUCGGUGCUGAAAGCGCCCGGCUUAACCGGGCGAGGCGUGCCGAUACGAGCGGGCUGGAGCCUUGGCGAGGGUGGCGGAACUCCUGGUGUAGUGGUGAAAUGCGUAGAGAUCAGGAAGAACACCCGUGGCGCAAGCGGCCACCUGGCCAAGAGCUGACGCUGAGGCACGAGAGCGUGGGGAGCGAACCGGAUUAGAUACCCGGGUAGUCCACGCCGUAAACGAUGUCGACUCGGUGUGCGGGGCGCGAAAGCGCGCUGUGUGCCUAAGCUCACGCGAGAAGUCGACCGCCUGGGGACUACGAGCGCAAGCUUA